AAAGCAAAUUUAGCCGGACAUUUCUCUCUUCAGAUUCGGCAGGUUAUCUUCAAGCCAUUAUUUAUACUUUCGGACUCACGAACAUUUCCGGCAUUUUAAACCAGAAUAUAUUUUUCUGUUGGCGACCUUCGUAUGAUACCGGCGACCAAAAGAAAAGGCCAGAAGUUAUUGCCAGUCAACAAAGGAGGAAAACAGGGGGAGAAAUAUAAACACAGACGCAAUAAUCUUUGGGCCCUUUCCUUUCCGGUUCGCACUUUUAAAUUUACUUAAUUUAAACUAGUCGGAGCACAAUGGCAAGUCUGCGUCUGACUCUGCCCUUUACU
RNAcentral lists this small RNA (323 nucleotides) under Drosophila virilis. RNAcentral describes it as "GJ26483". Lineage: Eukaryota; Metazoa; Arthropoda; Insecta; Diptera; Drosophilidae. The record is from RNAcentral.